UCCUACGGGAGGCAGCAGUAAGGAAUCUUCCACAAUGGACGAAAGUCUGAUGGAGCAACGCCGCGUGCAGGAUGACGGUCUUCGGAUUGUAAACUGCUUUUAUAUGGGAAGAUUAUGACGGUACCAUAUGAAUAAGGACCGGCUAACUACGUGCCAGCAGCCGCGGUAAUACGUAGGGUCCAAGCGUUAUCCGGAAUCACUGGGCGUAAAGCGUGCGUAGGUGGCGUGUUAAGUGUGAUGUUAAAUCGUGGGGCUCAACCCUGUCGGUGCAUUACAUACUGGCAUGCUAGAGGACGGCAGAGGCAAGUGGAACUCGUAGUGUAGCAGUGAAAUGCGUAGAUAUUACGAAGAACACCAAUGGCGAAAGCAGCUUGCUGGGCCACUCCUGACACUGAGGUACGAAAGCGUGGGGAGCGAACAGGAUUAGAUACCCUGGUAGUCCACGCCGUAAACGAUGCAUACUAGCCGUAUGGGGUAUCGACCCCCUGUGCGGCGUAGCUAACGCGUUAAGUAUGCCGCCUGGGUAGUACGGCCGCAAGGCUAAAACUCAAAGGAAUUGACGGGGACCCGCACAAGCGGAGGAUGAUGUGGUUUAAUAUGACGAUACGCGUAGAACCUUACCAAGGCUUGACAUCCUGGGAAUCUUCUAGAAAUAGAGGAGUGCCUUCGGGAGCCCAGUGACAGGUGUUGCAUGGCCGUCGUCAGCUCGUGUCGUGAGAUGUUGGGUUAAGUCCCGCAACGAGCGCAACCCUUAUCGUAUGUUGUAUUUUUCAUGCGAGACUGCCCGAGGUAAUCGGGAGGAAGGUGGGGAUGAGGUCAGGUCGGCAUGACCCUUACGCCUUGGGCCACACACGUCAUACAAUGGCCGGUACAACGCGCCGCGAAACCGCAAGGUGGAGCUAAUCGCAUCAAAACCGGUCUCAGUUCGGAUUGCAGGCUGCAACUCGCCUGCAUGAAGUCGGAUUCGCUAGUAACCGCAGGUCAGCAUACCGCGGUGAAUACGUUCCCGGGCCUUGUACACAC
RNAcentral lists this ribosomal RNA (1023 nucleotides) under uncultured Candidatus Saccharibacteria bacterium. Its description in RNAcentral is "bacterial SSU rRNA". It matches the Rfam family "Bacterial small subunit ribosomal RNA", at positions 337 to 1390 of the family's 1533-position model. Lineage: Bacteria; Candidatus Saccharimonadota. The record is from RNAcentral.